CACACACACACACACACACACACACACACACACACACACACACACACACACACACACACACACAGAGAGAGAUAGUGUAAACCGUUCCUCCCUCUUUCUCUCUCUCCCACAGUCUCUUGCUGGCAGCUGUUUGUCUUUGAUGUUUAUUCACAGGAGUGUUGUUAAGGAGAUCCUGGGAGUUGGGGCCUGCCUACCACUUUGUUAGAAUUCCUCACUUCACCGAGGCAAUUACACAAAAACUCAGCAAUCUAAUGAUUUAAAGUCCCCAGAAAGCAUUGCAGGCAGACUGCUAGGUUAUGGCGUGUUAUGUUUAAAAUCUAAUAACUGUCUCUUAGAUGACAGUAACUGCUCCUUUUCCUCUCAAUUUGCCCGAAGGGCUUCGAUUAAUAAAAGAUGUAUUUUGUUUUUCUUCAGUGAUACCACAUACUGUAGAUGAGAAGUUUUGUUUGUUAGAGAUAGGAGAACGAUUAGAGUGUUUUUGUGGAGACGGUCAUGCCAACAGCCUUGUGAUGGACUGUGUGGGGGUAUGUGGAGGAUGUGGGUGAAGAGGGAGGGGGAGAAGGACCUGGCCUGGCUCCAAUUUGGACGAGGGCUUGACCAAAAGGCUCUGGGUUGUGUUAGAAAUUAGACACCGCUUCAGAGAUUAAGCCCUGUGUGCAAACGUCCGAAUUCAGACACGCACACACACACCCACACCCUCAAGGCGCCAGUCUCCCUGUAAGGUCUAUGAGCUGUUCUGUUUUUUGUCCCUGGUUUGGCAGAUGUUAUUCAUUGAGUUGAAUGGGGAGAGAAAGGGGCUGAUAUUUUGACAGUGGCUGAGGCACUGACUCUGAGGUGCAGUGUUCCCUAGACUUCUGCAUAGUUACCCCACUAUGUUAAUGGGGUGGUACGCGUGUGUGUAUGCAUGCAUGUGUGUGUUGCAGGCAGUGUGUGUGUUUGUAUGUGUGUGUCGCAGGCAGUGUGUGUGUCGCAGGCAUUGUGUGUGUGUCGCAGGCAUUGUGUGUGUGUCGCAGGCAGUGUGUGUGUGUGUGUGUGCGUCACAGGCAGUGUGUGUGUGUGUGUCACAGGCAGAGUGUAUGUGUGUGUGUCGCAGGCAGUGUGUGGGGGUGUUGAGGGACACAGGAGGUUGGUGGCACCUUAAUUGGGGAGGACGGGCUUGUGGUAAUGACUGGGAGGAAUCAGUGGAAUGGUAUCAAAUACAUCAAACUCAUAGUUUUCCGGGUGUUUGAUGCCAUUCCAUUUGCUCCGUUCCGGCCGUUAUUAUGAGCCUCCUGUGUUGAGGGGAGAGUACAACCUAGGGCUGCACAGCAAGGGUGAAAAGAUAAUGUAGCAUCAAAGCUCUUGUUAGCUUUACCUCCCUCUGUGACCCCUCUCUCCCUUUUUUUCUCUCUCUCUCUCUUUUCUCCAUCCCUUUCUGUUCUAGUUAUUGCUAUCCUAUAUCUACCUGCAUUGCCUCCCACCUUCUCUCGGCUAGGUCAAGACAAACUGUUCAUUUUGCAGGAGCAGCAGAAUCCACAUCUAGUUAGCAGUAGAUUUAAGCAGCUUUAAUAGACAUCUCUGUAUUUAUUAAGGCUGGCUUAUUGUCUCAAUGGAUGCUUGGUGAGCUCUCCUAUCCCAGUGCAGUGGAAAUCACAUUCUCUAAGUUCUGUCGCGUUACAUUACUUAAAUAGAAAUGCCAUCAGAGUCAAAUGAAAGAAGGGUUAUUCGGCUGUUCCCAUAAGAGACCCCUUUACACAGACGGUUCUACCUGGAACCAAAAGGAGCUGUACCUGGAACCAAAAACGGUUCUCCUGUGGAGACAGCCGAAGAAUCCUUUUCUCAGAGUGUAUCACCUGUGGAUUGCUUGUGACAGAAAACAUUGUAAAAUAUAAAUGUGAUUGUGUGCUGCAAAAUUAUGUUAUGAUGAGUUUCAAGUCACAAAAAAAACGAAGAAAUACAAAACAAUGAUGUGAUGAUGCAUUGGCUACGCAAGUAAAUAGCUUGGUCAAAAGUAGUGCACUAUACAGGGAAUAUCGUGCCAUUUAGAACACAGGGUUAGUGUCUGUAACCUGGCCCCUACCUGUGUUUUCUUCCCACACCCCUUGGCUGGUAAUGACCUGAGGGUGUGUUUUCACGGCACCGAAAGGGUCAGAUGGCGAUCUGUGUGUGUGUGUGUGCUUUCACUGCAAGGGUUAAUGAUGUUUAUCAGCUCCCAAUGCACCCCAGACUCCAUGUCCAAAAACACUCUGAAGUAGUAGGAUGGAAAGAUGAUGCUCUUAAAUUGGGUCAUAAAUGGGUUUGCAUGGGAUUAUUAAGUUAAUGUGUGUUUUUUUGUAACGUGUGUGUGUGUAUGUGUUUGUUGGUUUAGUAUAUGUGGGGUUUUAUACACUGAUAAGCUAGUUGGAGUGUUCGUGCCUGCCAGCUCCUAGCAAUCUCCCUAGUCAAUUAGUCCUCCUAUCCCUUUCUCCCUGUUUGUGUGAGUAUGUAAUGUGCGUGUGUGUGUAAUGUGUAUAUAUUUUUUGUGUGUGUGUAUGAGCUCGCUGGCUACGGGGCAUUGUCUGAUAGGACCUGCUUGGAGACAGAGUGUCUGGUCUGUCUAUGAGGAG
Long non-coding RNA from Oncorhynchus tshawytscha (Chinook salmon), 2585 nucleotides. The record is from Ensembl. NCBI's taxonomy places the organism in Eukaryota, Metazoa, Chordata, Actinopteri, Salmoniformes, Salmonidae.